AUUGAACGCUGGCGGCAGGCCUAACACAUGCAAGUCGAGCGGAUGAGGGGAGCUUGCUCCUUGAUUCAGCGGCGGACGGGUGAGUAAUGCCUAGGAAUCUGCCUGGUAGUGGGGGAUAACGUUCCGAAAGGAACGCUAAUACCGCAUACGUCCUACGGGAGAAAGCAGGGGACCUUCGGGCCUUGCGCUAUCAGAUGAGCCUAGGUCGGAUUAGCUAGUUGGUGAGGUAAUGGCUCACCAAGGCGACGAUCCGUAACUGGUCUGAGAGGAUGAGCAGUCACACUGGAACUGAGACACGGUCCAGACUCCUACGGGAGGCAGCAGUGGGGAAUAUUGGACAAUGGGCGAAAGCCUGAUCCAGCCAUGCCGCGUGUGUGAAGAAGGUCUUCGGAUUGUAAAGCACUUUAAGUUGGGAGGAAGGGCAGUAAGUUAAUACCUUGCUGUUUUGACGUUACCAACAGAAUAAGCACCGGCUAACUUCGUGCCAGCAGCCGCCGCCG
Molecule: ribosomal RNA, 500 nt
Filed under: uncultured bacterium
Lineage: Bacteria
Description: partial 16S ribosomal RNA
Rfam family: Bacterial small subunit ribosomal RNA
Source: RNAcentral